GGUUGGUCCAAGUGCAGUGGUGUUUACAACUAAUUGAUCACAACCAAUUACACAUUCCUUUAUUCCUUCUCCAGUCCCACUGCUUCACUUGACCAGCCUUAA
Molecule: Y RNA, 102 nt
Filed under: Prolemur simus (greater bamboo lemur)
Lineage: Eukaryota; Metazoa; Chordata; Mammalia; Primates; Lemuridae
Description: Y RNA (ENSPSMG00000009051.1)
Rfam family: Y RNA
About the family: Y RNAs are components of the Ro ribonucleoprotein particle (Ro RNP), in association with Ro60 and La proteins. The Y RNAs and Ro60 and La proteins are well conserved, but the function of the Ro RNP is not known.
Source: Rfam by way of RNAcentral